GACGAACGCUGGCGGCGUGCUUAACACAUGCAAGUCGAACGGAAAGGCCCUGCUUUUGUGGGGUGCUCGAGUGGCGAACGGGUGAGUAACACGUGAGUAACCUGCCCUUGACUUUGGGAUAACUUCAGGAAACUGGGGCUAAUACCGGAUAGGAGCUCCUGCUGCAUGGUGGGGGUUGGAAAGUUUCGGCGGUUGGGGAUGGACUCGCGGCUUAUCAGCUUGUUGGUGGGGUAGUGGCUUACCAAGGCUUUGACGGGUAGCCGGCCUGAGAGGGUGACCGGCAACAUUGGGACUGAGAUACGGCCCAGACUCCUACGGGAGGCAGCAGUGGGGAAUAUUGCACAAUGGGCGGAAGCCUGAUGCAGCAACGCCGCGUGCGGGAUGACGGCCGUCGGGUUGUAAACCGCUUUCGCCUGUGACGAAGCGUGAGUGACGGUAAUGGGUAAAGAAGCACCGGCUAACUACGUG
This 468-nucleotide ribosomal RNA is filed under the name uncultured bacterium. RNAcentral describes it as "partial 16S ribosomal RNA". It matches the Rfam family "Bacterial small subunit ribosomal RNA", at positions 28 to 507 of the family's 1533-position model. The record is from RNAcentral.